Molecule: non-coding RNA, 475 nt
Organism: Parasteatoda tepidariorum (common house spider)
Lineage: Eukaryota; Metazoa; Arthropoda; Arachnida; Araneae; Theridiidae
Source: RefSeq, a predicted model, not a curated record
AGAUUUUUGUUUAUAUUUUAAAGGUUAAAAUUUUGUGAAUAAUUUAUGAAAUCAAUUUAAAAAUGCUUUGAGAAUGUGCAGCUGUUUCUAAUUAAGUAACCGUUACUUAUUUUUGAUAUACUUCGUGUUAACAUUCUUCAUAUCUCAAUAAUCGAUAAAUAAAAUUCUGAUGUCGAGUGGAAGAAAUUUAAGAUUACGUUCAUAUCCUCAAGCGUUAGCGUCCUGUUACUCAGAAGCCUCAGCUUAUGCAUUGUGUGUUUCCCAAAAAGAUGAUAUAAAGAAAAAUGAUUGCAAUUCAGAAUUCCAAUUGCUGAAAAAGUGCUUUCAUAAAAAUAUUAAAAACAUAGUUUCAAAGAAAAGUUGAUGUUCUCUAAGAGUCAAGAAUUAUUUUGUUCUUUUGAAAGAAAAGCUUUCUUUAGUGUAAUAAAUGUGUCAUAGCUGUUGGGAAUAAAAUACUGUAUUCUUUUUUAAACAA